UGGGGAAUUUUGGACAAUGGGGGAAACCCUGAUCCAGCCAUCCCGCGUGUGCGAUGAAGGCCUUCGGGUUGUAAAGCACUUUUGGCAGGAAAGAAACGUCGCGGGUUAAUACCCCGCGAAACUGACGGUACCUGCAGAAUAAGCACCGGCUAACUACGUGCCAGCAGCCGCGGUAAUACGUAGGGUGCAAGCGUUAAUCGGAAUUACUGGGCGUAAAGCGUGCGCAGGCGGUUCGGAAAGAAAGAUGUGAAAUCCCAGAGCUUAACUUUGGAACUGCAUUUUUAACUACCGGGCUAGAGUGUGUCAGAGGGAGGUGGAAUUCCGCGUGUAGCAGUGAAAUGCGUAGAUAUGCGGAGGAACACCGAUGGCGAAGGCAGCCUCCUGGGAUAACACUGACGCUCAUGCACGAAAGCGUGGGGAGCAAACAGGAUUAGAUACCCUGGUAGUCCACGCCCUAAACGAUGUCAACUAGCUGUUGGGGCCUUCGGGCCUUGGUAGCGCAGCUAACGCGUGAAGUUGACCGCCUGGGGAGUACGGUCGCAAGGUUAAAACUUAAAGGAAUUGAC
This 566-nucleotide ribosomal RNA is filed under the name uncultured bacterium. Its description in RNAcentral is "partial 16S ribosomal RNA". It matches the Rfam family "Bacterial small subunit ribosomal RNA", at positions 355 to 914 of the family's 1533-position model. The record is from RNAcentral.